GCCUGUUUAUUCAACUGUAACCUGACGGGACUAAAUGCUGGUGGGAAUAAUUGAAGAUGAAAAUAUUAAUCGAACAGAUUCUAAUCUGUGAUUGUAAAGUGACAGUCAGACUCAGUAGGCAUAUGCCUAUUAAUGAUUUUUUUGCAAUUUAAAAUGUGUCUAGGUUCAAACUGACUGUGAAGUUUUAGACAUCUAUGUUCCAUUAAUAAAAUCGUGCUCAUUUUGUAUUUUAUGAAAUGCUGUCAAAACAAAUUCAGACAGCAGAUAAUGAAAAACUCACUUUUAAACUACAUUUAUUUAUUAUUUCAGCUGCACCACAGUCAUCCUCACUCAGAAAUAUUCACAUCAUAUCCAGUUGAUAACUACGAUAGGAAUGUUCAAUCAGUGCGACUACAACUUAAGAUGAAAGGUUACUGUUCAUUGAUCAGUUUUAUACAGAUUACUUUAAACAGUCAUUACUGUAGCGCAGGCUAAGUGUUUUACCUUAAUGUCCACAGAGUCACUGUAUUAUAAAGGACAGUGUAGUUUAUAUAUUUUAUUCUGUGCUGAAAUUAAAUGUACAAUGUCCAGCUCUCUGUCCAUACCUCGAUGACAGAUUGAUCAUAAAAGCGUCAUAUUCAAGAUCAUGUUUGGGUAAAAAAAAAAAACUAAUGGCCUAUUUAACCGUGAUUUCGAUGUUUCCAAAGACGUAAUUGCGUUCCAAUAUGUGCUUUGAUAUCGACAGUAUAAUUGAGGAAAUGACACGGUGUGUGUGAUUAUAAUUCAGAUUUACUUAACGUUAACUUGCUGCUAUACUAGUAUCAGUGACAAUGCUGCAGCUCUGUUACAGGUCCAGUGUAAUAAAUAUGGGAAAACUGCUCUUCUGCUGCAUUCCUGUAGCCUGGCAGUGCAUUAUAAACAAGAGUCUCACUUACUUAUAAAUGAGCUUUUGGUUGGUCACACCACCAUUUACAGCCAGAUUCAAAUGCUCUGUGUAAUUCAUUUUCCAUCUAUACUUGAUAAAAAUUAUGUGUUACAAUUCUUUUGCACUUUUUGUAGCCAUUGCUACAAGAGCUCUGCAACCUUGAAUUGUUACAAUAAAUAAACCUUCAUAAGAGGUAACAGCUUGUUAGCUCCGCUAGGCCAAAUUAUAUUGAGUAAUGGGAUGUUGUGAAUUGGCUAAAUGAGCAAGAGACAUGUAUGGAACUUUAAAUAUCUUUAUUGCUCAGUAGUGUUUCCUUUAUUGUGCAGAAUAUGGCAUGGCGCAGCAUAAAUAUUUAAAUGCAAAUGUUUGUUUGUAUGUCUGUUGCCAUAAUCACAAAUUUGAGAUGACCAGACAGACCCACCACAGAGACAAACCACCAGGAUAGCAGAUGAAUCAGAAGUACAGGUUUCCAGUAUAAUAUGAGGACUACUUCAAACUAUUAACCUCAGGUGGCCUGAUUUUGUGAGCAGUGACCUCCAGAGCUUAGAUUCUCAGAUUACAUGCACUCACUGAGGCCGAUAGUAAUUGUCAGGGUAGGAUGUCCAAUAUGAAAUAAAUAGAUGUUAUGUUAUGUAAUUAUUUCUAGUAAAAAGAUACCCCAUAAAUGUGCAAAGUCAUCAAAUGAUAAAUAGUGAUUAUGAUUAUUGCUUUAGACCACUAACACUUACCAUGAGGCAGAAACAUGCACGGAAUAGGCAUAGCUGAAUUACUGAGCUUACAGAGUAAUGUGCUACUGUGUACUAUUUACUUGAAAAGUAGCUCAGUAAUCAAAGUAUCUGCAGCUACUGAACCAUGUGUAUGUUUCAAAUUAACCUGGAUAUUUUCACUUGAAAAGUUUGUCAGACAAUCAUUGGCAUGUUUAAAAAUACUUUAUCAAACUGUUACAAAGAAUAUAAUUUAUAUUGUGAUCUGUCAACGCCAUAAUAAAGUUCAUGAAAUGAGA
Molecule: long non-coding RNA, 1907 nt
Organism: Micropterus dolomieu (smallmouth bass)
Lineage: Eukaryota; Metazoa; Chordata; Actinopteri; Centrarchiformes; Centrarchidae
Exons: 2
Source: RefSeq, a predicted model, not a curated record